AAUGAACGCUGGCGGCAUGCCUAACACAUGCAAGUCGAACGAAGGCUUCGGCCAUAGUGGCGCACGGGUGCGUAACGCGUGGGAAUCUGCCCUUGGGUUCGGAAUAACAGGUAGAAAUGACUGCUAAUACCGGAAGAUGACGUAAGACCAAAGAUUUAUCGCCCAAGGAUGAGCCCGCGUAGGAUUAGCUAGUUGGUGGGGUAAAGGCCUACCAAGGCGACGAUCCUUAGCUGGUCAGAGAGGAUGAUCAGCCACACUGGGACUGAGACACGGCCCAGACUCCUACGGGAGGCAGCAGUGGGGAAUAUUGGACAAUGGGCGAAAGCCUGAUCCAGCAAUGCCGCGUGAGUGAUGAAGGCCUUAGGGUUGUAAAGCUCUUUUACCCGGGAUGAUAAUGACAGUACCGGGAGAAUAAGCUCCGGCUAACUUCGUG
This 433-nucleotide ribosomal RNA is filed under the name uncultured bacterium. RNAcentral's name for it is "partial 16S ribosomal RNA". It matches the Rfam family "Bacterial small subunit ribosomal RNA", at positions 29 to 507 of the family's 1533-position model. The record is from RNAcentral.